Pimephales promelas (fathead minnow) is the source of this 7522-nucleotide non-coding RNA. NCBI's taxonomy places the organism in Eukaryota, Metazoa, Chordata, Actinopteri, Cypriniformes, Leuciscidae. The record is from RefSeq and is a predicted model, not a curated record.
AGUAUUGUUGUGUCAAUUCAUGGUUACUUUGCUUUAGUUGUAUUGAGCAUUCCAAGCCAAGAUUCACCCAGGACACUCAAAGCACUCCCAAACUGCAGGGGGCAUCCAUGCAACAAAAGUUGGUGGAACCAACCUUUGGGGAAGUAGCUUUUGGGACUAUAUUUGCCUGCGCACCCACAGAGAGAGCAUGGCAUUGAAAUGUUUGUGGAGAGUUCAAUUUGUUCUCUCAUUUAUUCCUGGAAAAGGAUAUUAUGAUUACAGCUCCUGAUCAUUUAAAGACGCAACUGGUAGGACAAUUUAUGAUUAACUGUGUUUGAAUAUGUUGAGUUUUAAAUGUUCAGGUUCUGCUUGGUUUGUAAUGUGCAAUUUAAAGGUUAUGAGGAUUUUGUUAUGUGAAUGUUGAACUUGACAGAAGUAACAUGUACAUGAGUUUAAUUAUGGGAAUGGUAUUUUCUUGUUAAAAUCCUAGGUUAAACUUAAUGAUCGUGUUUAGUUUGGUUUGAAGAUUCAAUAGCAUUCAUUUAUUAUUUCUGUGAGAUAGUGGUAUUGUGAUUUAUGUGUGACUGAUUCAUGAUGUAUAUGUAACUAAUUCAUGUUUGGUUUGUGUAUUUGAAAGGUUUUCAACCUAUAUCUACUGUUCCAUCACUGAUCUAUCAAAUCACCUUCAAGAAACUAUACAUAUUAUUCCAUCACUGGUCUAUCAAACCAUCUCAAAGAAAAUAAAGAAUCAAGAAGUGAACAGAUUGAGUUGUCCUUUGCGUUCUUCAGUGUGAAAAGCAGUUUUCAAGUUUGGGCUGAGCUGUAAUCAAUCAAAAAACAAACAGAACUUGACAGUUGAAAACCACCGUGGCAGUGAGAAUAAGGAUAAAAGGCCUGAAGUCAAGCUGUCAACGCAAAGGAAGAGUUAACUGGAAAAAAAAAGUAGCACCAUGGCAAAAGAAACUCUUGGGAAGACAGUCAAGCAACUGAAGCAAGAGCGGACCUUAGCAAAAUCAGCUUUCACCAAGCAAGCAAACUACCUGAGUAAAGCUGCAAAUGAGAUGAUUAAAGAUGAACUACAAGAGGAGUUCAGCAAACUUAGUUCCUUGGCAAGACACGUCAGUGAUGCAAAUGAGGACUAUAGGUCUGGACUACUGGCUGAAGCAGGGACUGAGGAGGAUGGAGAAGUCAAGCUCAAUAAGCACCAGCAGGCUGAACUUGAGCAGACAAUGGAAGAGUGUGACAUGAGACUGAGGGACAUCCGUGAGGCAGUCCAAGCCAACCUCUGGCCAAGAUAUGGUAAAGAGGACGUAGACUUUGCAUUUCAAGAAGCGGAAGAGGCCUGUGACAGAGCCCAAGCAAGCCCCGUCACUGCUAUCAAUAGAGAUGGCUAUGAACUGCUGCUGGAGAGAGCAAGGAGGCUAAUCCAUGUUGCAACUGUAAGCCUGAAAGAUUGGGAAAAAUGGAUCCCACAUAAUCAGACAGCAGACCUGAAAGGCAGAUUAAAAGACCUGAGAAUAUCCGGGAGCAACCUUGAGGCCAGAAGAGCAGAAUUCCUUACUGCACAAAGAAUUGCAGAAGACCAGCAGCCUCAACCAGCACCAGUUCCCCAACCAGUGGUGAGGAUAAAGCCAACCUGUCUACCUAAAUUCAUUGGGAUUAGGAGGAAUUUCCAUAGAUGGAAAAGAGACUGGGAGAGUCUGCAAAAGCAGGGAGAGCCAACUGGAUCAGUGGAAGUGAAGAAGUUCCAACUCCUUGACAGUGUGGACGAGAGGAUAUGUAGAGACCUGAGCUUGACAACAUACAACAGUGCUGAAGAUAUAUUUAGAGUACUUCAAAACAGAUAUGGAAACAAGCCAGUGAUUGCUUUGGAGAUAAUCGAGGACCUAGAGAGGAUCCCUCCUUUAAAGUCACACCAGCCAAGGAAGGUAAUUGACCUAAUUCAGGCUGUGGAAAAGGCCCUGAAUGACCUCACGGAACUCGAAAGUAUUGGAGCCAUAAAGAAUCCCCUUGUGAUCAGAUCCAUAGAGAGCAAGCUCCCAGAUAAUUUAAAGAGGGACUGGCUGGCAUUCAUGGUUAAUCCAAGGAAUGGAGUCACACCUGACAAUCACUUUGACAUCCUUCUAACAUUCUUGAAGACACAAGAGGACAUUCUAGAGAAACUAGACCAAUUGGGUGUAAGUGAAAAACCUGAAAAGAAAGCUAUGUAUCCAGAGAAGAGGUAUGCCUCCACAAAGUCCACAAGGAAAGGAGGAUGUGUUGUCUGUGGAGAUGAGAAACAUCGUGAUAAAAUCUUCUUUUGUAAGCAGUUUAAAGAACUAAAACCUGGUGAGAAACUGAAUGCUAUCGAAAGGUUGGGAGCAUGCAAGAGAUGCCUCAGAUGUCAUGUAGAGAGUGAUGAAUGUACAGACACUUACCUGUGCAGGAACAGGGACUGCAGAAGAGGAAGCUCUUCAGAUCACCACUUCUUUCUCUGUCUGAAAGGAGGAUUCAAGGGGAAGGAAUCUGUGAAAGUGGGAAAACCCAGCACCAGGAGGCAAACAUUCACAGAGGAGCAAGAGGAACUGAUGUCUGAGCUCACCCCGGACAUGGCAGAAAAAGUCAGGAGAGCCUUCACCAACAUGGCUGAAAAAUCAGACGGCACUGGAAGAAGCCUUCGUGGAGUGAUGGAUUCAAGCACACGUGAGUUGCCAGUUAUUCUGAUGCUUCUCGAAGUAACCACCAAUACAGGACAGAAAAUUGGAACUCUCAUCGACUUGGCGUCAGAUACCAACUACAUUACUCAUGUAGCUGCCAGGAGAUUAAACCUUCAGAGUGAAAAGAUCACACUUGUUGUCCAUGGAGUUGGAGGCAUGGCCAUGAAGGUAAAGACCAAAAGAUACGUACUCAAGGUACGAAUCAAGACUCCCAGAGGCACGGAGAGAGCUCAUGAGCUGAUCUGUUAUGGGUUGGAUGAAAUUGCAAAAGUUCACAGAGUGAUCAAAGCACAGCAACUCAAGAAGUUCUUUCCCGACACCAACCUAGAAGAUCUUCACAGACCAGCACAUGUUGAGCUUCUCAUAAGCCACCGUGAAGGAAGACUUGUUCCACAGAGAGUAAAGGUGGUAGGAGAUCUUGUCCUGUGGGAAGGCCCUUUAGGAAAGACCGUUGGCGGAGCACAUCCAGACCUCUGUGAAGUAGUAGGUAUGGCCCUGCACAAUUCUGAAACCCACUUCGCACGAUCAAUGAGAAUCACUGCAGUAAAGUAUAAAGAAAUUGCUGAGAUGCAAAAAUCUAGAGCUGAAACCAGAACCACUGUUAUUGGCAGGGAGUUCUUGGACUGGUGGAAGUGGGAUAGCAUUGGUGCAGCCUGUGAACCCAUGUGUGGAGGAUGCCGGUGUGGUAACUGUCAGCCAGGAGGCAAAGACAUGACUCUGAGUGAAGAGAAAGAGCUUGAGGUGAUCAGGCGAGGCCUCAGCUAUGUGAAGUCAGAUGCGCAUAGUCAGGAGCCUCACUGGGACACAAAAUAUCCCUGGAUUGAAGAUCCAAGUUCCCUGCUUAACAACAGAAGCGCAGUGGAAGCUACAUUUCUGAGGACGGAAAAACAGCUCAAGAAAGAACCAGAGUGGCAUACAGCAUACACAACUCAAGUCCAUGAGAUGGUGGAAAGGAGAGCAGCAAAGAAACUCAGUAGAGAGACCAUUGCUAACUGGAAAGGACCAGUGUGGUACGUCAGUCACUUGGUGGCGCCAAACCCACACUCUGUAACAACACCUGUCCGACUGGUAUGGAACAGCAGCCAGAAGUUUCGAGGGAUCAGCAUGAAUGACCUUCUCCUGAAAGGGCCUGAUGUACUUAAUCCCAUUCGAGCAGUGCUACUAAGGUUCAGAAAAGGAGCCCAUGCUGCCCUCGGCGACAUCAAAAAGAUGUACAAUUCUGUGUGGCUUGAAGAUCUGGAGAUGCACCUCCAUAGAUUUCUCUGGAGAAACAGUGGAGUUGAAGAAAUUGAGGAAUAUUGCAUCACCAGGGUCAACAUUGGUGAUCGACCAGCAGGAUGCAUCGCACAACUGGCCAUGAGAGAGACAGCAAGGCUGCCCAUGUUCACUCAUCUGAAGGAGGAACGGAGAGUUAUUGAGGAGGAUUCCUAUGUAGAUGACAUUCUGACAUCCCAUAAUGACCUGGAAAAGCUAAACGAAACCACCAAAAAAGUUGAAGAAAUUUUGAAGGCAGGUGGAUUCUUCCUUAAGCCGUGGGUCCGAUCAGGCCAAAGUGGGAGGCAGACGUCUACAUCAGUACAUCCAGCAUCGUCAGAUGGAGUCUUCAUUCUCCCCAACCAAAUAAGAGAAGGAGACAACAAAGCUCUUGGGGUUGGUUACCUAGUCGAACCAGAUAAACUGUACCUUAUGACCUCGAUAAACUUCUCAAAGAGGAAAAGGAAGAUGAGAAUGAGCAAAAAUCUCAUUGAGGAAGAGGUGAGAGGAAAAACUCCAAAUCCAUUGACUAGAAGACAACUGCUUAGCCAAGUAGCUAGUUUGUAUGACCCGAUAGGCCUUGCAACACCUGCCAAACAGAAAGGAGCCAUUCUGGUCAGGAAAGCAUUUCAAGAAGCUGGAGGCAAAACUCUAUCACGUGACACAUGGGACACACCUCUGUCUGAAAGACUUCGAGAAGAAGCCAUCCACCUGUUUGAGGAAUACACACGCCUCAACCAAAUUACCUUCCAUAGAAGCCUCACACCAGUCAGAAGGAUUGGAGAACCCUGGGGAAUAACUUUCUCAGAUGGUAGCGACCAGAGCUAUGGAGCUGUUGCAUACUUCAGGUGGGAGACCGAGCAAGGCAUUCUGGUCCGGCUUGUUGAGUCCAAAGCCAAGCUCACACCACUUGACCAAAAGGGAGAAGCAGUGAAGGCUGAGGUCUGUGGUGCUGUGUUUGCGGCGAGACUCAGAAAAUACAUUGAAAGGCACAGUCGAAUGCAAGUUGAGCGUUGGCUCCAUCUGCUGGACAGUCAAACUGUGCUAGGUGCAAUCCAAAGGGACAGUUAUGGGUACCAGACCUUUUUUGCCAACAGAGUGGGAGAGAUCCAGAAGUCCACAUCAGUUGAAGACUGGAGAUGGAUUCCAGGUGAGCAAAACGUUGCUGACCUCACAACAAGAGGUGCAACCCCAGAAGACCUGAAAGAGGAUUCUGUGUGGCAAAAUGGCCCAGAGUUUUUGAAACGACCUGUGGAGGAGUGGCCGACAAAGUCAGCUAGAGAUGUUGCUGCAGAAGCUAAAGAAGGUAUAAACAAGCUCCAAAGGAAAUGUUUUACAGCAGCACUGACCAGAGCACAGAUGAAAAGAAACCAACAUGCUCUACCUAUUACUACAAUGCCAAGAUCCCCAAUCUCUAAUGAAAAGAACGACGAUCUGCAAAGCAGCCCUUGUGGGAAAGGAGGGUAUCAAAUCCAAGUCAGGAGAUCACCUUCUGGUUCCUCAGUGAGGAAAAUCCUGGACAUAGGUAGGUUCAGUAGUUUAAGCAAGCUGAUAAGAACCAUUGCCUGGGUGUGGAGAGCUGCCACAAGAUGGAAGGAAAUGCUGGCCAAGACCUCAAUCACAAGCAAACCAAAUAGGAAGGAGAUUCCUUCAGCUCUUGAGAUCAAGUCCAGAGUGAAGGAAACAACACUUACCAUCAUGGAGUGUGAGGAUGCACUCAGGGAUCUCUUCCUUGCAGCUCAAAUGGAGGUAACCUUGCCAGACAUCACACUUAGCAGGCUUGCUGUGGUCAGGGAGGAAAGCACUGGACUUUUGCUCUGUGGAGGAAGAUUCCAAAUCUUUAAUGAAGAGAAAACUGCAGUACCAGUCUUGCCCUACACAUCAUGGGUAUCCACUCUUCUAGCUCAAGAAGCCCAUAAGGCAAAUCAUGAAGAAAUUGCAGGCACACUCCUCCGGAUGAGAAAGAAAGCAUGGGUGGUAAGAGGUCGGAAACUAGCUCAGAAGAUCGUUGAUAACUGUGUGACAUGCAGGAGACUUAAGGCUCGAAGAUGCCAACAGAUCAUGAGUGACCUUCCAUCAGAGCGAAUAACACCAGCCAAUCCAUUUGAGUACACGACAAUGGACUUAUUUGGACCUUACGAAGUGAAGGAUGAGGUGAGAAAGAAAGUGAAACUCAAAGUGUGGGGAAUCGUCUUCUGUUGUAUGGCGUCCAGAGCUAUGCACACCGACCUUGUUAGUGACCAGUCAGCUGAAGGCUUUCUUCUAGCCUACCAAAGAUUUACAGCACUGAGAGGACAUCCAAGGAAAUUGUGGUCGGAUCCUGGGAAGAACUUCGUCGGAGCCAGACCUGCCCUCAAAGAGCUCUACAUGUUUCUGAACCGACUGGAGAAAUCAAAGCUUGAAGAUGAAGUCUCCAAGCAUGGCACAGAAUGGAGCUGGAAGAUCAAUCCAGCAGACUCGCCUCACAGAAACGGGGCUGCUGAGGCUGCUGUCCGGAUUAUAAAGCGAGCUUUGCACAAUCUGGGGGGUGAUGGAGUCUUCACAUGGGGUGAGUUUCAAACUUUCCUUUAUAUGGCUUCCAACCUAGCAAAUGAACGACCUAUUGAUGCCAGGACUCAGAGCCGGGAGGACUGUGUAGAAUACAUUAGCCCAAAUUCGCUUCUGCUUGGAAGAACUGGACCCAGAGGAGAUCCAGGGACCUUUGAUUUUAAAAACUAUCCUUACAGAAGAUUGCGAAUCAUCCAAACAGAAGUUGACCGAUUCUGGAGGAAAUGGAGCCAGUUAGCUGGACCAAACCUGUUUGUCCGAACCAAGUGGCACACCAUUCACAGGAAUGUGGCAGUUGGAGAUGUCGUCUGGUUGGCUGACCAGAAUGCCUUGAGAGGUCAGUUCAGGCUUGCCAGGGUCAUUGACGUCAACACUGACAGGAAGGGAAUUGUGAGGGAUGUAUAUCUCCGAUCCUUCCCCAGCUACCCAGUCGCAACUGUGAAACCCGCUAAAAAGACACAAGAAUACUCAACCAAGAUACCUGCAACCGUUCUUCACAGAGAUGUCAGACGGAUAGUUGUCAUACUUCCAGCUGAAGAGCAGCAGUAGCAGCAGGAUCCAAAAUGGAGUAACUAGACCCGACACAUCACAGUUCUGGUGUGACCUCCUUGGGUUGAAGAACCAGGAGGUCAAGUGGGAGGUGUUGUGUCAAUUCAUGGUUACUUUGCUUUAGUUGUAUUGAGCAUUCCAAGCCAAGAUUCACCCAGGACACUCAAAGCACUCCCAAACUGCAGGGGGCAUCCAUGCAACAAAAGUUGGUGGAACCAACCUUUGGGGAAGUAGCUUUUGGGACUAUAUUUGCCUGCGCACCCACAGAGAGAGCAUGGCAUUGAAAUGUUUGUGGAGAGUUCAAUUUGUUCUCUCAUUUAUUCCUGGAAAAGGAUAUUAUGAUUACAGCUCCUGAUCAUUUAAAGACGCAACUGGUUUUCAACCUAUAUCUACUGUUCCAUCACUGAUCUAUCAAAUCACCUUCAAGAAACUAUACAUAUUAUUCCAUCACUGGUCUAUCAAACCAUCUCAAAGAAAAUAAAGAAUCAAGAAGUGAA